UUUGAACGUCAUGCACAUAGAUCGGAUUUUUCCAGAUGGUCUAGAAAAAGGAAAAACUCG
RNAcentral lists this small RNA (60 nucleotides) under Caenorhabditis elegans. RNAcentral describes it as "Unclassified non-coding RNA B0285.14". Lineage: Eukaryota; Metazoa; Nematoda; Chromadorea; Rhabditida; Rhabditidae. The record is from RNAcentral.